This 253-nucleotide ribosomal RNA is filed under the name uncultured bacterium. Its description in RNAcentral is "partial 16S ribosomal RNA". It matches the Rfam family "Bacterial small subunit ribosomal RNA", at positions 524 to 776 of the family's 1533-position model. The record is from RNAcentral.
UACAGAGGGGGCAAGCGUUGUUCGGAAUUACUGGGCGUAAAGGGCGCGUAGGCGGCCCGCUAAGUCGAACGUGAAAUCCCCGAGCUCAACUCGGGAACUGCGACCGAUACUGGCGGGCUUGAAUCCGGGAGAGGGAUGCGGAAUUCCAGGUGUAGCGGUGAAAUGCGUAGAUAUCUGGAGGAACACCGGUGGCGAAGGCGGCAUCCUGGACCGGCAUUGACGCUGAGGCGCGAAAGCUAGGGGAGCAAACGGG